RNAcentral lists this ribosomal RNA (503 nucleotides) under uncultured bacterium. RNAcentral describes it as "partial 16S ribosomal RNA". It matches the Rfam family "Bacterial small subunit ribosomal RNA", at positions 30 to 523 of the family's 1533-position model. The record is from RNAcentral.
AUUGAACGCUGGCGGCAGGCUUAACACAUGCAAGUCGAGCGGGGUGAUGGUGCUUGCACUAUCACUUAGCGGCGGACGGGUGAGUAAUGCUUAGGAAUCUGCCUAUUAGUGGGGGACAACAUCUCGAAAGGGAUGCUAAUACCGCAUACGUCCUACGGGAGAAAGCAGGGGAUCACUUGUGACCUUGCGCUAAUAGAUGAGCCUAAGUCGGAUUAGCUAGUGGGUGGGGUAAAGGCAUACCAAGGCGACGAUCUGUAGCGGGUCUGAGAGGAUGAUCCGCCACACUGGGACUGGGACACGGCCCAGACUCCUACGGGGGGCAGCAGUGGGGAAUAUUGGACAAUGGGGGGAACCCUGAUCCAGCCAUGCCGCGUGUGUGAAGAAGGCCUUAUGGUUGUAAAGCACUUUAAGCGAGGAGGAGGCUCUUUUGGUUAAUACCCAAGAUGAGUGGACGUUACUCGCAGAAUAAGCACCGGCUAACUCUGUGCCAGCCGCCGCCGUAA